This 269-nucleotide ribosomal RNA is filed under the name uncultured prokaryote. RNAcentral describes it as "partial 16S ribosomal RNA". It matches the Rfam family "Bacterial small subunit ribosomal RNA", at positions 524 to 792 of the family's 1533-position model. The record is from RNAcentral.
UACGUAGGUGGCAAGCGUUAUCCGGAAUUAUUGGGCGUAAAGAGCGCGCAGGUGGUUGAUUAAGUCUGAUGUGAAAGCCCACGGCUUAACCGUGGAGGGUCAUUGGAAACUGGUCGACUUGAGUGCAGAAGAGGGAAGUGGAAUUCCAUGUGUAGCGGUGAAAUGCGUAGAGAUAUGGAGGAACACCAGUGGCGAAGGCGGCUUCCUGGUCUGUAACUGACACUGAGGCGCGAAAGCCAGGGGAGCAAACGGGAUUAGAUACCCGCGUA